GGGGAAUAUUGGGCAAUGGGCGAAAGCCUGACCCAGCAACGCCGCGUGAGGGAAGAAGGGUUUCGGCUCGUAAACCUCUGUCCUAUGGGACGAAGGAAGUGACGGUACCAUAGGAGGAAGCCCCGGCUAACUACGUGCCAGCAGCCGCGGUAAUACGUAGGUGGCGAGCGUUAUCCGGAAUUAUUGGGCGUAAAGAGGGAGCAGGCGGCACUAAGGGUCUGUGGUGAAAGAUCGAAGCUUAACUUCGGUAAGCCAUGGAAACCGUAGAGCUAGAGUGUGUGAGAGGAUCGUGGAAUUCCAUGUGUAGCGGUGAAAUGCGUAGAUAUAUGGAGGAACACCAGUGGCGAAGGCGACGAUCUGGCGCAUAACUGACGCUCAGUCCCGAAAGCGUGGGGAGCAAAUAGGAUUAGAUACCCUAGUAGUCCACGCCGUAAACGAUGAGUACUAAGUGUUGGGUGUCAAAGCUCAGUGCUGCAGUUAACGCAAUAAGUACUCCGCCUGAGUAGUACGUUCGCAAGAAUGAAACUCAAAGGAAUUGACGGGGGCCCGCACAAGCGGUGGAGCAUGUGGUUUAAUUCGAAGCAACGCGAAGAACCUUACCAGGUCUUGACAUCGAUCUAAAGGCUCCAGAGAUGGAGAGAUAGCUAUAGAGAAGACAGGUGGUGCAUGGUUGUCGUCAGCUCGUGUCGUGAGAUGUUGGGUUAAGUCCCGCAACGAGCGCAACCCCUGUUGCCAGUUGCCAGCAUUAAGUUGGGGACUCUGGCGAGACUGCCGGUGACAAGCCGGAGGAAGGCGGGGAUGACGUCAAAUCAUCAUGCCCCUUAUGACCUGGGCUACACACGUGCUACAAUGGACAGAGCAGAGGGAAGCGAAGCCGCGAGGUGGAGCGAAACCCAUAAAACUGUUCUCAGUUCGGACUGCAGUCUGCAACUCGACUGCACGAAGAUGGAAUCGCUAGUAAUCGCGAAUCAGCAUGUCGCGGUGAAUACGUUCUCG
Molecule: ribosomal RNA, 996 nt
Filed under: uncultured bacterium
Lineage: Bacteria
Description: bacterial SSU rRNA
Rfam family: Bacterial small subunit ribosomal RNA
Source: RNAcentral